CUGAAUUCACAUUUAGUGAUGGGGGAAUGGUGAUUGAUGAAUAUCGUGCUAGCUUAAAUGAGCAAUCUAUUGAAGCUCUUAUUUGUGGUGGGGAUUGACUUCGUAACAAGUAUGGGCUGAAGAAAAACAAAAAGGAGGUUCUGGACAAGAGGAGAUUAUGUUGAAGUCAUGACUUGUUUCAUUUUAUGUUUGAAUACUAUUAUGUUUACAUUGUUGUUAUUAUGUUUGUAUUGUGGACUUAUGAUUUGUGUAAUUGUGUUGUUGUUAAACUUGUAUUUCAGUC
This is a long non-coding RNA of Ipomoea nil (Japanese morning glory), 283 nucleotides long. RefSeq lists it as uncharacterized. NCBI's taxonomy places the organism in Eukaryota, Viridiplantae, Streptophyta, Magnoliopsida, Solanales, Convolvulaceae. The transcript is spliced from 3 exons. The record is from RefSeq and is a predicted model, not a curated record.